RNAcentral lists this ribosomal RNA (119 nucleotides) under Periophthalmus magnuspinnatus. Lineage: Eukaryota; Metazoa; Chordata; Actinopteri; Gobiiformes; Gobiidae. The record is from RNAcentral.
CACACUGGCUUGUCAAAGUCUGAUCUCGUCUGAUCUCGUCAGAUCUCAGAAGCUAAGCAGGGAUGGGUCUGGUUAGUACUUGGAUGGGAAACAGCUGUGAAUAUAAGCUGCCACAGUGG